AACGCGAAGAACCUUACCUGGUCUUGACAUCUACGGAACCCUGCAGAGAUGUAGGGGUGCCUUCGGGAGCCGUAAGACAGGUGCUGCAUGGCUGUCGUCAGCUCGUGUCGUGAGAUGUUGGGUUAAGUCCCGCAACGAGCGCAACCCUUGUCCUUAGUUGCCAGCAUUCAGUUGGGAACUCUAAGGAGACCGCCGGUGACAAACCGGAGGAAGGUGGGGAUGACGUCAAGUCAUCAUGGCCUUUAUGACCAGGGCUACACACGUGCUACAAUGGUAGAUACAGAGGGAAGCCAACGCGCGAGCGGGAGCCAAUCCCAGAAAAUCUAUCGUAGUCCGGAUCGGAGUCUGCAACUCGACUCCGUGAAGUCGGAAUCGCUAGUAAUCGCAGAUCAGCAUUGCUGCGGUGAAUACGUUCCCGGGCCUUGUA
Molecule: ribosomal RNA, 427 nt
Filed under: uncultured Gammaproteobacteria bacterium
Lineage: Bacteria; Pseudomonadati; Pseudomonadota; Gammaproteobacteria
Description: bacterial SSU rRNA
Rfam family: Bacterial small subunit ribosomal RNA
Source: RNAcentral